GCUAUCGGGGUUCGAUUAAGCCAUGCGAGUCGAGAGGGUUCAGGCCCUCGGCGGACUGCUCAGUAACACGUGGAUAAUCUGCCCUAUGGUGGAGGAUAACCCCGGGAAACUGGGGAUAAUACUCCAUAAGUCAGGAGUACUGGAAUGUCUCCUAACUGAUAGUUGCGGCGCCAUAGGAUGAAUCUGCGGCCGAUUAGGUAGUUGUUGGGGUAACGGCCCAACAAGUCUGUAAUCGGUUUGGGUUGUGGGAGCAAGAGCCCGGAGAUGGAAUCUGAGACACGAUUCCAGGCCCUACGGGGCGCAGCAGGCGCGAAAACUUUACAAUGCAGGAAACUGUGAUAAGGGAACCCCGAGUGCCCGUAAACGCGGGCUGUCCCGGUGUUUAAACACAUCGGAAGAAAGGGCCGGGCAAGACCGGUGCCAGCCGCCGCGGUAUACCGGCGGCUCGAGUGGUGACACUUUUAUUGGGCUAAAGCGUUCGUAGCUUGAUUUUAAGUCUCUGGGAAUCUCACGGCUUACUGGGAGGCGCUAAAAAACUGGGAUCUAGGCACGGGAAGUAAGAGGCUCCCGGGGGAGA
RNAcentral lists this ribosomal RNA (577 nucleotides) under uncultured archaeon. RNAcentral's name for it is "bacterial SSU rRNA". It matches the Rfam family "Archaeal small subunit ribosomal RNA", at positions 29 to 630 of the family's 1478-position model. The record is from RNAcentral.